GCGUGUGUGAAGAAGGCCUUAGGGUUGUAAAGCACUUUCACCCGUGAAGAUGAUGACGGUAGCGGGAGAAGAAGCCCCGGCUAACUCCGUGCCAGCAGCCGCGGUAAUACGGAGGGGGCUAGCGUUGUUCGGAAUUACUGGGCGUAAAGCGCGCGUAGGCGGCGCAUCGAGUUAGGCGUGAAAGGCCUGGGCUUAACCUGGGAACUGCGCUUAAUACUGGUGUGCUUGAGUCCGGAAGGGGGUGGCGGAAUUCCCAGUGUAGAGGUGAAAUUCGU
This 275-nucleotide ribosomal RNA is filed under the name uncultured bacterium. Its description in RNAcentral is "partial 16S ribosomal RNA". It matches the Rfam family "Bacterial small subunit ribosomal RNA", at positions 399 to 691 of the family's 1533-position model. The record is from RNAcentral.